Molecule: unclassified non-coding RNA, 386 nt
Filed under: uncultured Planctomycetota bacterium
Lineage: Bacteria; Pseudomonadati; Planctomycetota
Description: uncultured planctomycete contains 16S-23S intergenic spacer region
Source: RNAcentral
UCCGUUUUCACAACGGCAGUCUCUCUAGAGUCCCCGGCCGAACCGUUGGUAACUAAAGACAAGGGUUUCGCUCGUUGAGGGACUUAACCCGACAUCUCACGACACGAGCUGACGACAGCCAUGCAACACCUGUCCACGUUUCACCCUUGCGGGCAAGGUAUCCAGCUUUCACCGGACCUAUCCGUAGAUUUCAAACCCGGGUAAGGUUCUUCGCGUUGCUUCGAAUUGAACCACAUGCUCCACCGCUUGUGUGAGCCCCCGUCAAUUCCUUUGAGUUUUAGCCUUGCGACCGUACUCCCCAGGCGGGGCACUUAACACAUUUGCUUCGGCAAAGAGAGUAUCGACGCUCCCUCUACCCAGUGCCCAUCGUUUACAGCUAGGACUAC